This 292-nucleotide long non-coding RNA is filed under the name Manihot esculenta (cassava). Its description in RNAcentral is "long non-coding RNA (MESC_LNC012723)". Lineage: Eukaryota; Viridiplantae; Streptophyta; Magnoliopsida; Malpighiales; Euphorbiaceae. The record is from RNAcentral.
CCAUUAAUGCAUACACAUCAGAACACCCAAUGACGAGAUUACCUGACACCACGGUGUUGGAUGUGUUAGCCUCCUGCUGAGUCAUGGUGAAGAUCCUGGCUGGAGCUGAUGGACCUUCACCUCGGGAACCAGAAGAAGAGGCUGCCCCUCUCCCUCUACCUCUGCCACUGCCCUGAGUUGUGGCUGGAGCUGCUGGCUGUGCCACAUUACCAGAAGCUGUCUGCUGGGGCUGGCCCAUAAAAGGUGCUCUAGGACACUCCCGAGCCAUGUGUCUCUCCUGUCCACAUCUGAA